RNAcentral lists this ribosomal RNA (397 nucleotides) under uncultured bacterium. Its description in RNAcentral is "partial 16S ribosomal RNA". It matches the Rfam family "Bacterial small subunit ribosomal RNA", at positions 523 to 918 of the family's 1533-position model. The record is from RNAcentral.
AUACGUAGGGAGCGAGCGUUGUCCGGAAUUACUGGGUGUAAAGGGAGCGUAGGCGGGAGUGCAAGUCAGAUGUGAAAUGCAUGGGCUUAACCCAUGAGCUGCAUUUGAAACUGCAUUUCUUGAGUGAAGUAGAGGUAAGCGGAAUUCCUGGUGUAGCGGUGAAAUGCGUAGAUAUCAGGAGGAACACCGGUGGCGAAGGCGGCUUACUGGGCUUUUACUGACGCUGAGGCUCGAAAGCGUGGGGAGCAAACAGGAUUAGAUACCCUGGUAGUCCACGCUGUAAACGAUGAUUACUAGGUGUGGGAGGUAUCGACUCCUUCCGUGCCGGAGUUAACACAAUAAGUAAUCCACCUGGGGAGUACGGCCGCAAGGUUGAAACUCAAAUGAAUUGACGGGG